AAGCACCUCUUGUGUGAUGUGAUAUUUUUCUUGAUUGCCAGGCUUUGGAAAAUUAUUUAUUUACUUCGUGAUUAUUUUUUGCCCUAGAUUAUGCAUCAUGUUUAGGUAUUAUGUCAAUACAUAAUCCUACGAUACAUGGAAUUGUUUUCUAAGGUCUUGGUAGCGUGAGCAGAGUAGGAUUAGGUUGUCGUGUAAAUCAACUAUCGAUUGCUACAUCCUCCCUUUUGUUUUUGAAGGCUAAACCCUGCGGUCACUGCUGUUGUCAUCACAGAGUUCAGGCCCACGUAUCAAGUUAAUAUGCUGUCUGUCAUCGAAGCUGCCUACUAAUCUGUAAGCCUACUGGCAGGGAGACCCGAUCAUUGCUAGUGUAUGGGUGACUCGACAUUGCAGCAGGUGGAGCAGUAGUGGAUGGGGUCUUCGUGUUCAUCACAGAGGUGGAGAGGAGCUCAAACUGUUAGUGGUCAAACCAUGGGAAGGGAGCACAGAGCAAGGCCAGAAACAUGUAAGUCUGCCCACACUGAAAGUGUUCUCUUCUUUGUACCUGCAUAUUCCUUGCAGGGGUAUGCAGAUAUCAGGGUAUGCAGAUAUCAUGCAUCCUCUCUUGGGAGAAGACCAAGAAAGCCACACGGAUAAUCUGGCUUAUUGAAGUAAGCUUCUUGCCUAAUGAAGCAACCGGCAUUAGUUUUUCUGUGGCGUCGACCUUAUGUGUCGAGAAUGCAGGUGUGCCCAUCACAAAGCUUGCUCUGUACAUAUAUCUUUUUUUCUAGUGGUGCGAGUUUUCCAAAAAAAAAAUUGAAUCAUGCCUUGGUUAAUGCCAAAUAUGGACCAAUGCAUUUUGUUCCUAAAAUACUUCUCCUGCCUGUGUUGAUGGUCACAUUUUUCCUGUUUUCACUGAUGUACCUAAGAUACAUAAUCAGAGGUGUCAUCAUGUGCAUCUGAGACACACUGCACAAAUUCUCUAAAAAUAAAGAAUGUCGCUGCAACAAUUCUGUCUUCAGCAUUCAAUGUUAUGGUUUCUUCCUAAAAUACUUCUGCUGCCAAUGUCGAUGGUCACAUUUUUUCUUGUUUUCACUGACGUACUUAAGAUACAUGCCUUAUAUGUAGAUCAUAAGGGUUGUUACAUGAUUAGUUUGUACAUUUAUCCAAAUAUAUCCAUAAAAAUUUAUUCAAAAAUCUGCAUAUCAUAUCUUGUCAUUUAACAGAACAAUACAGUCUAUCUUGAUUGAUCAUUUGCUAAGAUCAUCGCCUAUCCGUGUUUAGGAUUUUAACAUUUUCUGCAAAUAAUAUCUGAAGUGGUCAUACACUACUGUUGCAUUAUUUUCAAUCUUAUUCCUCGCUUUUUAUACGUCUAUGUGUUCCUUAAUAUGAAUCCUUCGUGUGAUGCACAUAUUUACACAUGAGAUCAUGCUUAAAUCAUGGAUGCCUUAUAGCGGACUACAUACCCAUGACAAGUAGAUUUAUUUAUUUGUAAGACAAUCCAACCAGUAGAAGACAAUAACUUUCCUGUGUUUCUUAUUUGUACCUUGUACUCUCUUCUCCUGGUAGCAAUUUUUUUUGCCAUCGCCUCAUACAUAUUUUGUUUGUGGAGUAAGCUUUACUUUUAUUUGUUUCUGGGGUGUUGCUGUCGCAAACUAUUGCCGUGUU
Lolium perenne is the source of this 1644-nucleotide non-coding RNA. Lineage: Eukaryota; Viridiplantae; Streptophyta; Magnoliopsida; Poales; Poaceae. The record is from RefSeq and is a predicted model, not a curated record.